CACGCAGCAGACGACGCGGGACGACCUUCGUCUGCGGGAGCACCCACGACCUGCGCUAUGGCUUGGCUUGGUAGGGGCAAUGGCAUCCUGUGAAAUGAGACGUUAGCUCCUAGAUUGGUAGUGGAGUAUGUAGGGUAGUCAAGCAGAGGACGAGUGUGGCAGCUGAGCCCACUAAGGCUGGAGAUGAUGUGACGCGGCCUCGUAAUGAAGCCAAGAAUCUAUGCUACUGUGAUAACCCAGGAUCUGAAGAUGAAGUGUAGUGAUAGAGAGAAAUAGAUCAUGUUAAGAAAACAAUUCCUUUUAUUUUAUUGUCUAGAAAUUGUGCUGUAGUUCUACUUGAAGAGUUCAAUAUGAAUGCAUAAUAGAUAGAAUUAAAAAGUAUGAGUA
This is a long non-coding RNA of Penaeus indicus, 387 nucleotides long. RefSeq lists it as uncharacterized. The transcript has 2 exons. Lineage: Eukaryota; Metazoa; Arthropoda; Malacostraca; Decapoda; Penaeidae. The record is from RefSeq and is a predicted model, not a curated record.